This 442-nucleotide ribosomal RNA is filed under the name uncultured bacterium. RNAcentral describes it as "partial 16S ribosomal RNA". It matches the Rfam family "Bacterial small subunit ribosomal RNA", at positions 338 to 795 of the family's 1533-position model. The record is from RNAcentral.
ACUACGGGUGGCUGCAGUGGGGAAUAUUGGGCAAUGGGCGAAAGCCUGACCCAGCAACGCCGCGUGAAGGAAGAAGGCUUUCGGGUUGUAAACUUCUUUUGACAGGGAAGAGCAGAAGACGGUAACUGUCGAAUAAGCCCCGGCUAACUACGUGCCAGCAGCCGCGGUAAUACGUAGGGGGCAAGCGUUAUCCGGAUUUACUGGGUGUAAAGGGGGCGCAGACGGCAGCGCAAGCCAGGAGUGAAAGCCCGGGGCCCAACCCCGGGACUGCUCUUGGAACUGCGCGGCUGGAGUGCAGGAGGGGCAGGCGGAAUUCCUGGUGUAGGGGUAAAAUCCGUAGAGAUCAAGAGGAAUACUCAUUGCGAAGGCGACCUGCUAGAACAUAACUGACGCUGAUGCGCGAAAGCGUGGGGAGCAAACAGGAUUAGAUACCCGGGUAGUC